UGGAAGAGAGAAACUAAACACAUUUAUCACACACACAACCACAUCGAGUUGACAUCUACCUAACUCAUUAAUCACACUUACACAUUGAUUUCUAUCUAACUCAUUAAUCACACCUAAACAUUUCUACGUAACUCAUAUCAAUCAAACGCAUUUCAAUUCGUUCAAGAUCAUUCACAAUCAAUUUGUGACAGACACUCAUUAAUCUCCAAACAUUGCUUUCUAUCUAACUUGUUUCUACCUAACCAGACCACAAGCAAUUCCUUUCAUAUGAGAGUCACAAUCAAUUCGUUCCACACCACACUCCUGAAAACAUCUAACAUAUCAACGGUAGAUGUCAAACCUGAAAUAGCCAUUGUCUCUUGAUCCGUCCAUAUUACAGUCCUCUUCUUUGAAGCAGCUUCAUGUCUCUUGAUCCGUCCUUCUGAAAAGGAAACACAAGAAACGAAAUCAAG
RNAcentral lists this long non-coding RNA (452 nucleotides) under Brassica napus (rape). RNAcentral describes it as "long non-coding RNA (BNAP_LNC022543)". Lineage: Eukaryota; Viridiplantae; Streptophyta; Magnoliopsida; Brassicales; Brassicaceae. The record is from RNAcentral.